This is a non-coding RNA of Aegilops tauschii subsp. strangulata, 150 nucleotides long. Lineage: Eukaryota; Viridiplantae; Streptophyta; Magnoliopsida; Poales; Poaceae. The record is from RefSeq and is a predicted model, not a curated record.
GGGUGUAAAAAGUUUUGAUCCACCUCUCGUGAAAAAGACAAAUUCAUGCCGAUUCAAUUGGAAGCGGGUCAAAUUUGAACCGUAGCUACCUCAUAGUUUGCUCUUUAUUUUUUCCAAAAAUCAUUUCUAGGUACAUAAGUAUCUAUUUAA